GCAGAGAGCGUUGUCAUGGAAACGGAGCAACGACACGACACCUGACCGUCAACAGUACUUCUCUCAUGCGGCAGUUUUCACUAAUUUCAGGAGUGACAAAAUUACCCCUACAACAGAAGAGAAGAGCCAAGAUGAAGGUAGCUAAUCACAGAGCAGGAGGAAACACAGAUUUUGGAUCGUCCUCCACUCACUCUACCCCUUUUUUUUCCUUGCCAGACUUCAUUCAAGAAGCCUGCUACAAGAGAGACAGCGGAAGGGAGCCUCAAAUACAUUUUUAUAAGGAUCUGCUAAUCAUGAGGGGGCAGACAAAAGAACCUGCAUUUUCCUUCAGCUUAAUAUCAGGGGUCGCCACAGCGUAAGGAACUGGAUAUUACUUUGGCAUAUGUUUUACACAGC
This is a non-coding RNA of Danio rerio (zebrafish), 396 nucleotides long. Lineage: Eukaryota; Metazoa; Chordata; Actinopteri; Cypriniformes; Danionidae. The record is from Ensembl.